ACCUUACUACUUGGAUAACCGUGGUAAUUCUAGAGCUAAUACAUGCUGAAAACCCCAACUUCGGGAGGGGUGUAUUUAUUAGAUAAAAAACCAACGCCCUUCGGGGCUUCUUGGUGAUUCAUGAUAACUUUACGGAUCGCAUGGCCUUGCGCCGGCGACGGUUCAUUCAAAUUUCUGCCCUAUCAACUUUCGAUGGUAAGGUAUUGGCUUACCAUGGUUUCAACGGGUAACGGGGAAUUAGGGUUCGAUUCCGGAGAGGGAGCCUGAGAAACGGCUACCACAUCCAAGGAAGGCAGCAGGCGCGCAAAUUACCCAAUCCCGACACGGGGAGGUAGUGACAAUAAAUACUGAUACAGGGCUCUUUUGGGUCUUGUAAUUGGAAUGAGUACAAUUUAAACCUCUUAACGAGGAACAAUUGGAGGGCAAGUCUGGUGCCAGCAGCCGCGGUAAUUCCAGCUCCAAUAGCGUAUAUUAAAGUUGUUGCAGUUAAAAAGCUCGUAGUUGAAACUUGGGUCUGGCUGGCAGGUCCGCCUCACCGCGUGUACUUGUCCGGCCGGGCCUUCCUUCUGGAGAACCUCAUGCCCUUCACUGGGCGUGUUGGGGACCAGGACUUUUACUUUGAAAAAAUUAGAGUGUUCAAAGCAGGCCUUUGCUCGAAUACGUUAGCAUGGAAUAAUAGAAUAGGACGUGCGGUCCUAUUUUGUUGGUUUCUAGGACCGCCGUAAUGAUUAAUAGGGACAGUCGGGGGCAUCAGUAUUCAAUUGUCAGAGGUGAAAUUCUUGGAUUUAUUGAAGACUAACUACUGCGAAAGCAUUUGCCAAGGAUGUUUUCAUUAAUCAGUGAACGAAAGUUAGGGGAUCGAAGACGAUCAGAUACCGUCGUAGUCUUAACCGUAAACUAUGCCGACUAGGGAUCGGGCGAUGUUCUUUUUCUGAC
RNAcentral lists this ribosomal RNA (936 nucleotides) under Quixadomyces hongheensis. RNAcentral describes it as "SSU rRNA". It matches the Rfam family "Eukaryotic small subunit ribosomal RNA", at positions 129 to 1075 of the family's 1831-position model. Lineage: Eukaryota; Fungi; Ascomycota; Dothideomycetes; Pleosporales; Parapyrenochaetaceae. The record is from RNAcentral.